Molecule: unclassified non-coding RNA, 330 nt
Filed under: plant metagenome
Description: partial contains small subunit ribosomal RNA, internal transcribed spacer 1, and 5.8S ribosomal RNA
Source: RNAcentral
UUUCCGUAGGUGAACCUGCGGAAGGAUCAUUACCACGAACACAGCGGAGCGAGGCGCGUUAGCGCCGAGCGACGCUGCAAACCCCCAUUCCGCUGGCCCCGCAACGGGCCAGCAGUGAACACCACGUUACACAGCGCUCCCAGCUGAGUGGGCGGGCAGGCCUGAAUGGACUGCCCGCGGCUGGUACUUUGCAGCGCUCUACCAAACGCCACCCACACAAACCGAACCCAAUCUCAACCAUUAGCCUCGGCAUUACAUGGCGGUGGGAUUUACUCCCGCCUCCUCAUACAAAAACGCUUACAACUUUCAGCAACGGAUAUCUUGGCUCUU